This 292-nucleotide ribosomal RNA is filed under the name uncultured prokaryote. RNAcentral describes it as "partial 16S ribosomal RNA". It matches the Rfam family "Bacterial small subunit ribosomal RNA", at positions 505 to 796 of the family's 1533-position model. The record is from RNAcentral.
GUGCCAGCAGCCGCGGUAAUACGUAGGUGGUAAGCGUUAUCCGGGAUUAUUGGGCGUAAAGCGCGCGUAGGCGGUAAAAUAAGUCUGAUGUGAAAGCCCCCGGCUCAACCGGGGAGGGUCAUUGGAAAUUGUUUUACUUGAGUACAGAAGAGGAGAGUGGAAUUCCAUGUGUAGCGGUGAAAUGCGCAGAGAUAUGGAGGAACACCAGUGGCGAAGGCGGCUCUCUGGUCUGUUACUGACGCUGAGGUGCGAAAGCGUGGGGAUCAAACAGGAUUAGAUACCCCUGUAGUCC